RNAcentral lists this ribosomal RNA (619 nucleotides) under Lactiplantibacillus plantarum subsp. plantarum. RNAcentral's name for it is "bacterial SSU rRNA". It matches the Rfam family "Bacterial small subunit ribosomal RNA", at positions 59 to 643 of the family's 1533-position model. Lineage: Bacteria; Bacillati; Bacillota; Bacilli; Lactobacillales; Lactobacillaceae. The record is from RNAcentral.
CAGUCGAACGAACUCUGGUAUUGAUUGGUGCUUGCAUCAUGAUUUACAUUUGAGUGAGUGGCGAACUGGUGAGUAACACGUGGGAAACCUGCCCAGAAGCGGGGGAUAACACCUGGAAACAGAUGCUAAUACCGCAUAACAACUUGGACCGCAUGGUCCGAGUUUGAAAGAUGGCUUCGGCUAUCACUUUUGGAUGGUCCCGCGGCGUAUUAGCUAGAUGGUGGGGUAACGGCUCACCAUGGCAAUGAUACGUAGCCGACCUGAGAGGGUAAUCGGCCACAUUGGGACUGAGACACGGCCCAAACUCCUACGGGAGGCAGCAGUAGGGAAUCUUCCACAAUGGACGAAAGUCUGAUGGAGCAACGCCGCGUGAGUGAAGAAGGGUUUCGGCUCGUAAAACUCUGUUGUUAAAGAAGAACAUAUCUGAGAGUAACUGUUCAGGUAUUGACGGUAUUUAACCAGAAAGCCACGGCUAACUACGUGCCAGCAGCCGCGGUAAUACGUAGGUGGCAAGCGUUGUCCGGAUUUAUUGGGCGUAAAGCGAGCGCAGGCGGUUUUUUAAGUCUGAUGUGAAAGCCUUCGGCUCAACCGAAGAAGUGCAUCGGAAACUGGGAAACUU